UUGGCGGACGAGUGAGUAACGCGUGGAAAACCUGCCGUAUACUGGGGGAUAACACUUAGAAAUAGGUGCUAAUACCGCAUAAGCGCACAGCUUCGCAUGAAGCGGUGUGAAAAACUCUGGUGGUAUACGAUGGUUCCGCGUCUGAUUAGCUAGUUGGUGGGGUAAUGGCCUACCAAGGCAACGAUCAGUAGCCGGCCUGAGAGGGUGAACGGCCACAUUGGGACUGAGACACGGCCCAAACUCCUACGGAAGGCAGCAG
This 259-nucleotide ribosomal RNA is filed under the name uncultured bacterium. RNAcentral describes it as "partial 16S ribosomal RNA". It matches the Rfam family "Bacterial small subunit ribosomal RNA", at positions 95 to 354 of the family's 1533-position model. The record is from RNAcentral.